GAUGAACGCUGGCGGCGUGCCUAAUACAUGCAAGUCGAGCGAACGGACGAGAAGCUUGCUUUUCUGAUGUUAGCGGCGGACGGGUGAGUAACACGUGGAUAACCUACCUAUAAGACUGGGAUAACUUCGGGAAACCGGAGCUAAUACCGGAUAAUAUUUUGAACCGCAUGGUUCAAAAGUGAAAGACGGUCUUGCUGUCACUUAUAGAUGGAUCCGCGCUGCAUUAGCUAGUUGGUAAGGUAACGGCUUACCAAGGCAACGAUGCAUAUCCGACCUGAGAGGGUGAUCAGCCACACUGGAACUGAGCCAUGGUCCAGACUCCUACGGGAGGCAGCAGUAGGGAAUCUUCCGCAAUGGGCGAAAGCCUGACGGAGCAACGCCGCGUGAGUGAUGAAGGUCUUCGGAUCGUAAAACUCUGUUAUUAGGGAAGAACAUAUGUGUAAGUAACUGUGCACAUCUUGACGGUACCUAAUCAGAAAGCCACGGCUAACUACGUG
RNAcentral lists this ribosomal RNA (497 nucleotides) under uncultured bacterium. RNAcentral describes it as "partial 16S ribosomal RNA". It matches the Rfam family "Bacterial small subunit ribosomal RNA", at positions 28 to 507 of the family's 1533-position model. The record is from RNAcentral.